GGUAGUUUUUUGUCCGGAUUCUUCUUAGUGCUUUUCCCGUGCCGUGGUUCCUUGUCCGGGCGUUUCUUAGCGUUGUUCCGACGCCGCGGUUUUCUCUGGGCGUUUCUUAGUAUUAUUCCACGCCAUGGUUCUUUGGGCGUUUCUUAGUGUAGGGUAGGCGCUCAGUUACGCGCGGGGCUGAACCCAGGACUGUGGCGGGAUCGAAAAACCCGGAAGUUUGCCAGGAACCGAGAAUCUCCGCUUCACACGGGCGGGUCCUCUGUCCCAGGCCGCUGGUUCUAGGCGUCUCCGCCUUCUGCAAUGCGGCGGCUUUGGCCCCCGGCGGACCUCCGCUCGGCCCCUGCGACACUGUCACUGAUGGGAAAGAGAACGUGUGCAGUAUCCAGGGGAGAAGCCACGCUGCGCUUCGGCCGAUGUCUGCCAGAUCUUCCUUUACACUCCUUCCUCUCUUCCCACUUUCCUUCCCUCCUGCCCUUUAUUUCUUGACUGUCUUUAAGGAAAAACUGAAAUCUGUUUCUGUUUUAUUUGUUUGUUUAUUGAGACAGAGUCUCACUGUGUCGCCCUGGGUAGAGUUCUGUGACGUCACAGCUCACCGCAACCUCAAACUCUUGGACUUGAGCGAUUCUCUUGCCUCAGCCUUCCUUGCCUAGUCCCUCCUCAGCUGGAACUACAGUUGUUUUUGAGAUAGAGUACUGUGGCCUCAGCCUAGAUCACAGCAACCUCCAACUCCUGGGCUCAAGUGACCCUUCUGCCUCAGCCUCCUGAAUGCCUUGGAACACAGCAUGAGUAUAAGCCAUGAUAUGGGAAUCAUGAAGGGAACCUGAGGAGCCUGCCACGUGGACAGAGCCAGUGAGAGAACAGAUGCAGUGCCCUAGGUGCAGUCUCCACGAAUGGCCACCUUUACUGGGGUGAUGACAUAAUUUCAGCUUACCGAGGUGUGCAGAAAACAUUUUCUUUAUUUUUAUAUAACAACUUCAUAUUAUUUUGAACUUCAAUGUGCCAGGGAGACAGCAAAUGAAUCCCAGAAAUGUGGAGGUUUGUUGCCUUCCUUUUUGCCAGCUGGUGUGUAAGUCCUAGGGGCUCCCGUUGUGCCAAGGUGUGUGUGUGUGGAGGGGAGAGCAGUGGGUCCAUUGUUAUCUUUCUCCCCAGUCACAGGAGGUGUGAUGUUCCUGUGCACGUGUCUUCUCCAGGUCUGGGGCAUCUCCCCUCACCUCUGCUCACCAUCAGGGGCCCAUGGCAAUCUGUUGCUUCAGUGCCAAACAAAGACAUGGACACCCUGGAGAAGCUGCCUGUGGUGUUGCCAACCCAGACGCCCUGGACAGUAGUGUCUCUGGGAUUAUGCUGUUCCCUGGGGCACUGCCAGGAAUCAGGGCCUCCAGCCAUUCUUUCUUGGACCCUACCUCAUCACUAUUCUCUCACAUCAGUUCCUUACUUUUCUUUCUCCCUGCUUACAGGGCUUCCUUAGGGAAGCCCAGCUUCUUAAUAGAUUUAUAUUUUUGGAGACUUAUUUUAGACUGCUGCUUCCCACUUCUGUGGCUGCUUCAUUUCUCAGUUGUGCUGGUAGAUGUGACAUGCAGAAGUUGCUUAAAUGGAUGGGGAGAAAGGGGAUGGAGAAGACUAGAAGAAAAUAAGAAUGUGCCAUGGUUCCGGUUCCAGCUAUGCUGGCAUCUAUGGUCUCAGAUUAGCCUUUGUACCACAACCAAACAAAACUGGACAGAAGAUAUGAAUGAGCCACUGUUUUAUGGCAGUGGAUGGCAGACAGUGCAGGACAGCAGUCCCUGAGAGGACUCAUGAGAUGUUCUAUC
This is a long non-coding RNA of Nycticebus coucang (slow loris), 1805 nucleotides long. RefSeq lists it as uncharacterized. The transcript has 3 exons. NCBI's taxonomy places the organism in Eukaryota, Metazoa, Chordata, Mammalia, Primates, Lorisidae. The record is from RefSeq and is a predicted model, not a curated record.